RNAcentral lists this ribosomal RNA (483 nucleotides) under uncultured bacterium. RNAcentral's name for it is "partial 16S ribosomal RNA". It matches the Rfam family "Bacterial small subunit ribosomal RNA", at positions 30 to 507 of the family's 1533-position model. The record is from RNAcentral.
UUGAACGCUGGCGGCAUGCCUUACCCCUGCAAGUCGAACGGCAGCGCGGACUUCGGUCUGGCGGCGAGUGGCGAACGGGUGAGUAAUACAUCGGAACGUACCCUGUUGUGGGGGAUAACUAGUCGAAAGAUUAGCUAAUACCGCAUACGACCUGAGGGUGAAAGUGGGGGACCGCAAGGCCUCACGCAGCAGGAGCGGCCGAUGUCUAAUUAGCUAGUUGGUGGGGUAAAGGCCCACCAAGGCGACGAUCAGUAGCUAGUCUGAGAGGACGAUCAGCCACACUGGGACUGAGACACGGCCCAGACUCCUACGGGAGGCAGCAGUGGGGAAUUUUGGACAAUGGGGGCAACCCUGAUCCAGCAAUGCCGCGUGUGUGAAGAAGGCCUUCGGGUUGUAAAGCACUUUUGUCCGGAAAGAAAUCGCGCUGGUUAAUACCUGGCGUGGAUGACGGUACCGGAAGAAUAAGCACCGGCUAACUACGUG